GGAGGAGUGGCAGAGUGGUCGAUUGCACCGGUCUUGAAAACCGGCGAUGUGCAAGCAUCCGUGGGUUCGAAUCCCACCUCCUCCG
RNAcentral lists this transfer RNA (85 nucleotides) under Celeribacter indicus. It matches the Rfam family "tRNA". Rfam says of the family: Transfer RNA (tRNA) molecules are approximately 80 nucleotides in length. Their secondary structure includes four short double-helical elements and three loops (D, anti-codon, and T loops). The record is from Rfam by way of RNAcentral. Lineage: Bacteria; Pseudomonadati; Pseudomonadota; Alphaproteobacteria; Rhodobacterales; Roseobacteraceae.